This 517-nucleotide ribosomal RNA is filed under the name Marinobacter alkaliphilus. RNAcentral describes it as "bacterial SSU rRNA". It matches the Rfam family "Bacterial small subunit ribosomal RNA", at positions 87 to 600 of the family's 1533-position model. Lineage: Bacteria; Pseudomonadati; Pseudomonadota; Gammaproteobacteria; Pseudomonadales; Marinobacteraceae. The record is from RNAcentral.
GCUGACGAGCGGCGGACGGGUGAGUAAUGCUUAGGAAUCUGCCCAGUAGUGGGGGAUAGCCCGGGGAAACCCGGAUUAAUACCGCAUACGUCCUACGGGAGAAAGCAGGGGAUCUUCGGACCUUGCGCUAUUGGAUGAGCCUAAGUCGGAUUAGCUAGUUGGUGGGGUAAAGGCCUACCAAGGCGACGAUCCGUAGCUGGUCUGAGAGGAUGAUCAGCCGCAUCGGGACUGAGACACGGCCCGAACUCCUACGGGAGGCAGCAGUGGGGAAUAUUGGACAAUGGGGGCAACCCUGAUCCAGCCAUGCCGCGUGUGUGAAGAAGGCUUUCGGGUUGUAAAGCACUUUCAGCGAGGAGGAAGGCCUUAAAGUUAAUACCUUUGAGGAUUGACGUUACUCGCAGAAGAAGCACCGGCUAACUCCGUGCCAGCAGCCGCGGUAAUACGGAGGGUGCAAGCGUUAAUCGGAAUUACUGGGCGUAAAGCGCGCGUAGGUGGUUAGGUAAGCGAGAUGUGAAAG